GCACCACAUGAAUUAUUGGCCAGUCGCUAUUAUUGACCUAUGUGAUUCCAACAGCAGGCACCAGGACUGAACCGCGCUUCAGAUAACUGUGGCUUAGGUUCUAAAAAUUGCUAAUCGCCUUCCUCGAGGCAUAAUGCCUCGCUCUGGGUCCAUUGCUGUUGAGCAUCAAAAUGAUAGUAUUUUUACGCCGGAACGUACAGACUAUCUGCAAGCGGAAUUCCAAGUUAGGAGACAGGGGCGAUGGCUGAUAUACUGCUAGGAUGCAAGGGCCAUCACUUUGAGACUGCCACCAGAGGACGAUUUAACGAGGGUGCGCCAUAGGUUACAACCCACAAGCACACGUUUGCGCCUAUUGAUAGAGCUGGAUGGUGUCAGACUCACAGUACCGCUAUCUCGAUGAUUUAAAAGCGGCUGUUCGGGCUACAGCAGUAAGUUCCCUCCUUCCCCACGCGACAUGGAAUGCGGUUCGUUGAGGCCGGUACAAGCUCAGAUAUCCUAUCCUAAAUGCUUCAGGAGUUAGUUCUAUAGAAUUAUCGUCUAACUACAGCGUCAACUUCGUUUGUUCGAACCCCUUUACCAAGUUAUCAAUUUACCUCUGCUGCCAAAAUGGACUUGCCAUAAGCCCGCACUUCUUGAGCUAGGAAUUAUCUUGUCCUUUACUGGCUGUCUGGCUGCCAUGUUAUAUUUAUGGUUAAUUACUGAUCUUCUAAGAUCUAUAAAUAUCAGCAAGUAUUAUAUAGAUAGUGUUGCUACACUAUAAUAAAGAGAGAGAGAGAUAGAUACUUUUAUUACUUCUAUUGCAAUCAUUUAAUUAGAUUCAAUGAGUUCAGAGUUUUCAUCUUCUUAUUUCUCAAGAAGCAGCAUCUGAGGGAG
Molecule: small RNA, 873 nt
Filed under: Histoplasma ohiense
Lineage: Eukaryota; Fungi; Ascomycota; Eurotiomycetes; Onygenales; Ajellomycetaceae
Description: hypothetical lncRNA
Source: RNAcentral